This 90-nucleotide small nuclear RNA is filed under the name Nannospalax galili (Upper Galilee mountains blind mole rat). The record is from RNAcentral. Lineage: Eukaryota; Metazoa; Chordata; Mammalia; Rodentia; Spalacidae.
GUUGGCUGGCAGGAUGUACAUUAAAAUUGGAAUGAGCUAGAGAUUAGCAUGGCCCCUGCACCAGAAUGACAUGCAAAUUUGUGUAUUUUU